This 1317-nucleotide long non-coding RNA is filed under the name Gallus gallus (chicken). RNAcentral describes it as "lncRNA (ENSGALG00010007120.1)". Lineage: Eukaryota; Metazoa; Chordata; Aves; Galliformes; Phasianidae. The record is from RNAcentral.
AUCUUGCUGGAGAUCCCUGCCUACUGAUGUCCUUCACAAGUGAUGGGUUGUCUUGCCUGAGGUCACAUAGAAGAACUACAUUCUGAGUAAGGGCAAAUGGUACCUAAAAAGUGGAAGGCUACUGAAACCUACUGAAAGUACAGGACUAUGCCUAGCACAAAAACAAAAAGGAAGCACAAUUUCAUACAGAGGACUGUAGAUGAGCCUGAAGGGUAUAGUGCUAGAAAUAACAUGAAAUCUAAUUAUAUAAAAUUCAGUGUCAUGAAUUUUGGAGCUAAUAAAAAGAGUUGCCAUGACAAGCUUGGAAUUCAUCACUUGGAAAUUACAGAGGAAGACCCAGUUAUCACACUUAGUUAUGGAGUGGCUAUGAAUUGAAAAUGUCCUACAAAGUACAAUGACUGCUCUGUAAAGUCUCAGAUUAAGUAUUACCAGUAAAGAGGGAAAAUGUUCAGUCCUUUUAAAAGGCACUGUGGAGUUGCUCUAGAAUACUGCAUUCGGAAAAGGCCUCACACGGGGGCUGAGAGGGACCACUAUGGUGAAGAGUAGAAUAAGAGAAAACAUUUUAUGAGAAGACAUGAAAAAACUUGGCUCGGGAAGACAGGAGAAAUGAAAGCUGUGAGAUAAAAUGAAAAAUGCAUGGAGGGUAGAGAAUGGGGAGAAGGCCAAGAUAGGGCAGCUGAUGUGCUUCUUUGGAGAGAACACUGAAUAGAAGAAUGUCAUGACCAUCUCUUCCUUCCCCAUCAAGCUCUCCCAUAAGCCAACCUGGCUUUCCAGGGCCCUAACCUGGAGAAUGAUCACUAGAUGCUACCUUGUUGCUUGUGGGAACUCCUUACAUCACCUCUGCCUAAGACCUUCCCGCUUGUAAGUGAUGCCAUUAGAGUUGGGCCAACAAGCCAGCCUCAUUGGCCCAGAGGCAACUUCUUGUGAUGAUUUGGUGCCACCAACAAGCUUCCUAAGCCUAUUUCUUCUCCAUGGGCCAUACUAUGUCCUCAUGAUACAUGAUCACCUCUCAAAUGCUGCCAAAAUAACAUUAAGUGAUGGGCUUGAAUCCCCAAGAAAUGAAUGUCCCUUUCUUCACCUUCAUCAUAAUGUAGCUUUCAAAUGUGAGGAAAAGCUCAGUGACUCUGACAGGGCAGAAAUCUUCCAUUCAGCAUAUAUUUAACCAUGUUAUGUGCUGGUUCUUGCUCAAUUUAAACUUAAGUCCAGAUUUUCUGGUAUUCCAUACCUCCAAUUUAGGUAUAGCUUUACAUUUCUCAUGGGUGGAAUAAAGAUGUUUCAUGAAUAAAACUGUCAAAGAAAACAAGGUUUAUUAGCAGC